This is a long non-coding RNA of Jatropha curcas, 782 nucleotides long. RefSeq lists it as uncharacterized. NCBI's taxonomy places the organism in Eukaryota, Viridiplantae, Streptophyta, Magnoliopsida, Malpighiales, Euphorbiaceae. The record is from RefSeq and is a predicted model, not a curated record.
UCCUAUGUUAUUCCUAUUUUGUACUAACAGAGAAAGCUUUUGACAAUUUAAACAUUUGCUUUUAUGUUAUUCCUAUUUUGUCCUACCCUCUAUUUCACGAUCUUCUAUCGACCGACCUUCUACACCGACUUCAAUUUCUUCAAAUACAGCAACUUCACUUCCAUUUUCUGGAUCUUUCAGUUCACGGAAGGAGGCAAGGGGAGAAUUUGGAUUCUAAGAUACUAUUCGAGUUAAUAGAAUCUUUCGUUGUUUAUAUUUAAUGUUCUUUUUGAUGCAUGUACUUGAGAUGCUUGAUAUAAGUUAGAUAUUGGUUAAAAUUUUCAUUUUUAGGAUUUCGAUUCGAGCUUCUCUUCCCAAUUGAUUGAAACUCUCAGCAGGUUUCUUACCAAUCAGUUAUUGUUAUUUUAUAGUGAAGAAUAGAGAGAGGCAUGAGUGUCGUUUUCAGCUACGUCUGCUAAGGUAUGCUAUAUCUUGCUAACAAUUGCUUAUUGUGAAUCAAAUUGAAUUUGUUUCGGCUAGACUCAUGUUAUUUGAUUGAAUACGUGCUAUUGUUUACUGUUAUUAAGCUUACAGAGAGUCCGUAUAGGUUCAGUUUGUGAGAAAUGUAUGAAAAAGAAUGUCAACACAAAAUCUCCGGUGCCGUUUUUGUAUUUUUCUCUUUGGGCCGAUAAAUUGUUAGUGGUUACAGAUGGUCAAGGAGCUAAAUUUAUUUUGACUGAUAAAUUGUAUUUUAAUGUGUUGAAUAUCUUUUCAAGAAACUUGAAAUAUUAUCUUUUGAUUCA